Molecule: long non-coding RNA, 1998 nt
Organism: Cherax quadricarinatus
Lineage: Eukaryota; Metazoa; Arthropoda; Malacostraca; Decapoda; Parastacidae
Source: RefSeq, a predicted model, not a curated record
UUUCAAGUUUUCGAGUUUCUUCAAUAAAAAGAAGAGAACUGUGAUCUACACAGGCUAAAAAUCAAUUUAUCUAUAACUAAGACUGACCAGUUUCUAUAACAAGAAAAGUAAGUGCGUUUGUUUAAUGUAAGCCAAGUAGUAUGUCCUUAAUGAUCUUAAGUGAAUAAGGAUAUUAUAGACACAUAGAACAUUAAGUUAAUUUAACCUAGGGUAACCAAAUAAAAAUUAAAAAGGCACAAUACCAUGACUGGAAUAGUGAUGUAUCGGAGAUCCGCAUCCGCAUCCGCAGAACAUCCUCGCAAUUUCUUACAUCUUCAUCUGUAUCCGCAUUUUACUGUAAACAGAUAUCCGCAUAUGCAUCCGCAUCCGAAUCCCCGGAACAUCCUCACAAUUUCUUACAUCCCCAUCAACAUCCGCACAAUUUCUUAUCCGCAUCCGCAAAAUAAGUAAGACAUCCUCAUACACAUCCGCAUCCUCGGAUAUCUAAAUUUUCACAUCCGAUACAUCUCUAGACUGGAACAACAUAUAAAUAACCCGCACAUAGGAGAGAGAAAACCAUUUGCAAAUUCACAUUUACAAAGUCGUCGUUAGCUUUUCUCUCCUAUGUGCGAGUUAUUUGUGCAUUGUUCCAGGCACGAUGUUGUGACUUUUGUAUUUGCUCGAGACUUAACAGCACAUUAUCCUGGUCUUAAGAUGCAUCAGCCAAUAAAUAUUAAAACCUCUCAUAAGAGAUAAACUGAAGUAUAUUGAACGUGUAUUAAUUCUGGUAGAAUUGCCGACAAUGUUAGGUAAAAGGACACAAGUUCAACUAAUGUGACAUUUUACUGUGGCAACGUUUUGCUCUCCUGGAGCUUUAUAAAGCCGGUCUCGAGUUGUGAGAGAAAUAACGUCAAAGAGAAAGAAGAAAGGAAAAAAUAUCCAGCGACUUCCCCUAAUGCUGGAGGAGGAUCUAAUAACCUCAGCCUGAGCCUUGUUAUCACUCUUAUUGCUUUUGUUAUUGUAUUUUGUUAUUGUUAUUAUACUUUUUUGUUAAUGCUGUUAUUUUUUUGGCUUGCUGUUGUUGUUAUAGUUGCUGUGUUGUUAUUGUUAUUGCUGUUAUUGUUGCUAUUGAUGCUUUUGUCAGGCUCAUACAAGAGCACAAAAUACCUAAUUUGAUUAAGCUACGAUGAAAAAACAACACGAAUAUUUUUCGAUACAUAACACGUGUUUUCAAACGUAAUUUUAUGACCAUAAAAAAAGGCAUUUUUUUUUCUUCCCAAAUGGUUAGGAGCUUAGAACUGGUUUGAAGAGUAUGGAAAAACCCCCGUGUAAGGAGGAGCCGAGCUUGUAAUGGUGUUUCCUGGGAGGGUAUAUAAAGGCUUGCAGCUGGCAAGGUUUACAUAGCCAACGUGAAGAGAAGCUCCUCUCUCUCUCUCGUCUCGACUUUAUCGCAGCCGGCGACAUGAAAGCUCUGUGUCUGUUGCUGAUUGUGGUGGUGGCCCUGACCGCCCUGAUGGGGUCUGCCCUAGCCAUGCCCGGCCCUGACGCCCUGGCUUACCCGGACCCCUAUGCUGACCCACACUGGAGGUAUCGCGGUGGAUUUGGUGGCUUUGGUGGCUUUGGCGGGUUCCGUCGUGGCUUUGGUGGUUUCUACGGAUAAACAUGGACUGCCCCAGCUACCCCGAGUCAUCUCUCUGUUGACGAAUUCUGCGAGACACAGGACGAUGGAAAAAGUAUGAAAUAGCCAUGAAUGAAGACACAAAACAUACAUCCAGUCACGCAACCUGUUCUGUCUUAACAGCAAACACAGAUCCAGCAUCUUCAAUCUUUAAUCUUCAUCCUCCAUUUUAAGAUACCAAAUACCAGUCAGCAUCUUCACUCUGCAAUUUCUUCCACUUCAGCAUCUCUGAGAUUAAGCUCAUCUAACCUUCACAUAUCUGCGACAGCUGUUACAUGGAUAUCAUUUUACUGUUCUGUUGCUAACAAAUAUAAACAAAGAUAAUAAAAAAUAUAUACUGC